UAGAGUUUGAUCCUGGCUCAGAACGAACGCUGGCGGCGUGGAUAAGACAUGCAAGUCGAGCGAGAUUUUCUUUGGUAGCAAUACCGAAGAAAGUCUAGCGGCGAACGGGUGCUUGACACGUGGGCAACCUGCCAAGAAGUGGGGGAUAGCUCGCCGAAAGGCGAAUUAAUACCGCAUGUGAUAAGAGUGGACAUCUAUUCAAAAUCAAAGUCGGGGCAACCUGACGCUUCUUGAGGGGCCCGCGGCCUAUCAGCUAGUUGGUGAGGUAACGGCCCACCAAGGCUUUGACGGGUAGCUGGUCUGAGAGGACGACCAGCCACACUGGGACUGAGACACGGCCCAGACACCUACGGGUGGCAGCAGUCGAGAAUUUUUCUCAAUGGGGGAAACCCUGAAGGAGCGACGCCGCGUGGAGGAUGAAGGUCUUCGG
This 430-nucleotide ribosomal RNA is filed under the name uncultured bacterium. RNAcentral describes it as "bacterial SSU rRNA". It matches the Rfam family "Bacterial small subunit ribosomal RNA", at positions 1 to 421 of the family's 1533-position model. The record is from RNAcentral.